RNAcentral lists this ribosomal RNA (599 nucleotides) under uncultured bacterium. Its description in RNAcentral is "bacterial SSU rRNA". It matches the Rfam family "Bacterial small subunit ribosomal RNA", at positions 60 to 628 of the family's 1533-position model. The record is from RNAcentral.
AGUCUGCCUUGAAGAUCGGAGUGCUUGCACUCUGUGAAACAAGAUACAGGCUAGCGGCGGACGGGUGAGUAACACGUGGGUAACCUGCCCAAGAGAUCGGGAUAACACCUGGAAACAGAUGCUAAUACCGGAUAACAACAGAUGAUGCCUAUCAACUGUUUAAAAGAUGGCUCUGCUAUCACUCUUGGAUGGACCUGCGGUGCAUUAGCUAGUUGGUAGGGUAACGGCCUACCAAGGCGAUGAUGCAUAGCCGAGUUGAGAGACUGAUCGGCCACAUUGGGACUGAGACACGGCCCAAACUCCUACGGGAGGCAGCAGUAGGGAAUCUUCCACAAUGGACGCAAGUCUGAUGGAGCAACGCCGCGUGAGUGAAGAAGGGUUUCGGCUCGUAAAGCUCUGUUGUUGGUGAAGAAGGACAGGGGUAGUAACUGACCUUUGUUUGACGGUAAUCAAUUAGAAAGUCACGGCUAACUACGUGCCAGCAGCCGCGGUAAUACGUAGGUGGCAAGCGUUGUCCGGAUUUAUUGGGCGUAAAGCGAGUGCAGGCGGCUCGAUAAGUCUGAUGUGAAAGCCUUCGGCUCAACCGGAGAAUUGCAUCA